RNAcentral lists this unclassified non-coding RNA (292 nucleotides) under Hevea brasiliensis (rubber tree). Lineage: Eukaryota; Viridiplantae; Streptophyta; Magnoliopsida; Malpighiales; Euphorbiaceae. The record is from RNAcentral.
AAAAAAAAUUAAAAAAAAAAAAAGUUAUUGUAAUAGUUGAUUUCAGAGGAAAUGGAAUGCAAAAGUAGAAUGGAUAAUUGUUGGUUGCUUCAAUGUGAUGGCUGUCGUAGUCCAAAAGAAAAUGAUAGUGCUACUUUGUUUAGGGGGUGCAGCUUGUGUUUCCAAAAGCCGUUUGACUUAUUUUUCUUCUGAAUCAUUAUUGGACGUUAAGUCAUUGGUGGUGGUGAUGGGUGGGCCUGGUUUGGUUUCACUGAUCUAUUUUACUCAUAUCCUCAUCCCAACCACUAUUCUA